UACAGAGGUCUCAAGCGUUGUUCGGAUUCACUGGGCGUAAAGGGUGCGUAGGUGGCUGGGAAAGUUUGAUGUGAAAGCUCAGGGCUUAACCCUGAAAUGGCAUUGAAUACUGCCUGGCUGGAGGUUUGGAGGGGGGACUGGAAUUCUUGGUGUAGCAGUGAAAUGCGUAGAUAUCAAGAGGAACACCAGUGGCGAAGGCGAGUCCCUGGACAACACCUGACACUGAGGCACGAAAGCCGGGGGAGCAAACAGG
This 253-nucleotide ribosomal RNA is filed under the name uncultured bacterium. RNAcentral describes it as "partial 16S ribosomal RNA". It matches the Rfam family "Bacterial small subunit ribosomal RNA", at positions 524 to 776 of the family's 1533-position model. The record is from RNAcentral.